This is a long non-coding RNA of Engraulis encrasicolus (European anchovy), 268 nucleotides long. RefSeq lists it as uncharacterized. Lineage: Eukaryota; Metazoa; Chordata; Actinopteri; Clupeiformes; Engraulidae. The record is from RefSeq and is a predicted model, not a curated record. The transcript has 3 exons.
UGGCUGAGCACCGCGGCUGGCAUCCUCUCGUGGCAUGGCACAGGUUCAUCAGUCAGGUGGUCAGCACCCAAACUAAAACCAUGAGUCAUGGUGGCCAGGAUGACGUCCAAGAAUUGCAUCCCAGCAGCACAGAUGGGGGAGCCAACAUGAAGAGGUGUCCAGAGAGGCUUCUUUCGCUUGGGGCUUUGCAACAGCACCAGGACCUCACCAUCAGUGAUGCUGGUUUCCUCAUCCAUCGGGCCUACUUACAUUCCUCACCUGAUGCACU